UACGUAGGAUCCGAGCGUUGUCCGGAAUUACUGGGUGUAAAGGGCGUGUAGGUGGGCCUCUAAGUCGGUGGUGAAAUCCUGCAGCUUAACUGUAGAAUUGCCAUUGAUACUGGGGGUCUUGAGUGCAGCAGAGGGAGAUGGAAUUCAUGGUGUAGCGGUGAAAUGUGUAGAUAUCAUGAAGAACACCAGUCGCGAAGGCGGUCUCCUGGUCCGUUACUGACACUGAGGCGCGAAAGCGUGGGGAGCAAACAGG
This 253-nucleotide ribosomal RNA is filed under the name uncultured bacterium. Its description in RNAcentral is "partial 16S ribosomal RNA". It matches the Rfam family "Bacterial small subunit ribosomal RNA", at positions 524 to 776 of the family's 1533-position model. The record is from RNAcentral.